This 91-nucleotide microRNA precursor is filed under the name Clunio marinus. RNAcentral describes it as "mir-965 microRNA precursor family". It matches the Rfam family "mir-965 microRNA precursor family". The record is from Rfam by way of RNAcentral. Lineage: Eukaryota; Metazoa; Arthropoda; Insecta; Diptera; Chironomidae.
UACCUUAGGGGAGAAACUGUGCGUUCUAUGUUGAAGAAUGCUUUUUAAUUCACUUUGAAAGUCAUAAGCGUAUAGCUUUUCCCCUUAGGUG